Molecule: ribosomal RNA, 270 nt
Filed under: uncultured archaeon
Lineage: Archaea
Description: partial 16S ribosomal RNA
Rfam family: Archaeal small subunit ribosomal RNA
Source: RNAcentral
CAGCACCUCAAGUGGUCAGGAUGAUUAUUGGGCCUAAAGCAUCCGUAGCCGGCUCUGUAAGUUUUCGGUUAAAUCUGUAUGCUCAACAUACAGGCUGCCGGGAAUACUGCAGAGCUAGGGAGUGGGAGAGGUAGACGGUACUCGGUAGGAAGGGGUAAAAUCCUUUGAUCUAUUGAUGACCACCUGUGGCGAGGGCGGUCUACCAGAACACGUCCGACGGUGAGGGAUGAAAGCUGGGGGAGCAAACCGGAUUAGAUACCCGCGUAGUCC